RNAcentral lists this long non-coding RNA (1374 nucleotides) under Neogale vison (American mink). RNAcentral describes it as "Neovison vison (American mink) lncRNA (ENSNVIG00000000677.1)". Lineage: Eukaryota; Metazoa; Chordata; Mammalia; Carnivora; Mustelidae. The record is from RNAcentral.
UCCGGCCCGAGCUGGCUUGGCCACGCUACGGCGGGCCGCCGCGCCGCGGGCCUCCACAGGCCGCGAUGCCGCCCGAACCCCGCAUCCUCUAGGCCCUGGCUGGCCGCUUGCUCUCCGCGAAGCCUGACUUACCGGGAGCGAAUAUGGUGUGGCAGGAGUCGCCGCCGACGCACUGUGGCGAGGAAGCACCCCCGGAAGCCACCGAGGAGAAAUCCUCGAGCAAGACGCCGCCGCCUCCACAGCGACCCACUUCCGCUCCUGAGGCCUGGGCUCCACCCCCGCGCACUCCCAUUGGCCGUCGUCGUCUCGAUUCCCGCGGUCUACCGGUCCAGGAGGAACUGGCUCCACAGGGAUUGUUCAUUUCAGGCCAGUGAGACUGGAGCAGAUGUUCACACAUUGCCUUGAGGACAGAGAGCCCUCCUAAGAGAGCCACCAGGGAGAGAUGACUCUUCUUCCUCGAUGUGAGGCUGGAACUGCUACUGGCUUGGAGACCAAGCUCCUGCGUCAGGCAUGUUUUGAAGCCCACCCCACCUUUGGACUGCUAGCUACGGGAGUUAAUAUGCAUCCUUUGAAACUCUAAGAGCUCCCGAGGGAAUCUGGACAGGCCAUCGUCCGUGUAUUUCCUUGAAAUCAAGUGGAAUGGAUUUCCAUCUCACAUAACAAUUGUAAGAAAUGUCACAUUUGUUUCCUUAAAUGAAUAAUGAAAUCAGUUAAAUGAAAAAAAAAAAUUCCAGCCCCCAGCUAUUUCGACAGGGAGGUGGGAAAUUUCUCUCUCAACCUGGGAAAGUCCUGUGUUUCUGACACUGCUUAAAAUAUUGGGGAAGAACGCUGGUGUUCAGUCUGUUGUUUUACUCUAAGAUGCCCAUCUUCCUGGUCAGAAUGUGCCCUGGGGUCCAGCCUCCCCCUUUGAGGUGUCAUCUCCCCAACAGAGCUAAGGAGGAAGUCAAGUUUGGGGGCAUAUCUCUCCUGGACAUCUAACUACCUGGCUGUUUCCAGCCCUUCCCCCUGGGGCCGUGCCCAGACUGUCCUUCCUGGAGCUGCAGCACCUUGUGUUUUAUUCAUGAUUCUGCAUUUCCACAGCAGGCUUUUGCUCAGCCAGCCUAUCCUCAAGGUCAUGACCUCUCCAGCCUCGCGCUGGAGAGGAACCAAAUCCAGAGGAACCAAAAUUAUGAAUGUGUCCCGGUCUGGGCUCAUGCCCACUGGCUCCAGUCAUGCUCCUUUGGUAUUGCUGAAGAAGGCUGGGUGGGGCUCUAAAGUCAAGCAGACUUAGCUUUGGGUCAAGGCUUUUGGGGCUGGUUACUUUACCUCUUUGAGUACUACUGGCCUCAUCAGCAGAAUGGGGGUAGAGGACAGUUCCUGCAUCCCCUUGACCCC